Long non-coding RNA from Culicoides brevitarsis, 446 nucleotides. RefSeq lists it as uncharacterized. Lineage: Eukaryota; Metazoa; Arthropoda; Insecta; Diptera; Ceratopogonidae. The record is from RefSeq and is a predicted model, not a curated record. The transcript is spliced from 3 exons.
GAGACAAGCUUUUUUUAGAGACAAAGGUUUAAAAAAAUGUGAAAUGAAAAAAAUUUUAAAAAUAUGAAAAAAUGUGAGAUUCAAAAAAAACAUAAAAAAGUUCAUAAAAAAUGUAAGAAUAUGUACUUUUGACAAAAAAAUUAAUUAAAAAAAGAAAAAAGUUAAAAAAAAUUUAAGACAAUUUAAGAAAAUAUUUUUAAAAAUUGUUCCUGAUCAUGGAAAUUGUUUUGUAAAGAUGUAGAACAUGGGAACUUGAGAUGGAAAAAUUAUUUUACAUAGGACAAAAAAUAUCGCUUCCAGCUCUCGUAUGGUAUUUUGGACGAUCAGAAUACAAGCAGCAUUUAGGAGGCAUAUGUACUUUGACGAAAAAGAGGAUUUUAAGCAACAAGUGAUUUAAAAAUUGUAUAAAAAAUGUACAAAAAUUAAUUUUUUAUAAAUAAAUGAAC